This 497-nucleotide ribosomal RNA is filed under the name uncultured bacterium. RNAcentral describes it as "partial 16S ribosomal RNA". It matches the Rfam family "Bacterial small subunit ribosomal RNA", at positions 28 to 507 of the family's 1533-position model. The record is from RNAcentral.
GAUGAACGCUGGGGGCGUGCCUAAUACAUGCAAGUCGAGCGAACGGACGAGAAGCUUGCUUCUCUGAUGUUAGCGGCGGACGGGUGAGUAACACGUGGAUAACCUACCUAUAAGACUGGGAUAACUUCGGGAAACCGUAGCUAAUACCGGAUAAUAUUUUGAACCGCAUGGUUCAAAAGUGAAAGACGGUCUUGCUGUCACUUAUAGAUGGAUCCGCGCUGCAUUAGCUAGUUGGUAAGGUAACGGCUUACCAAGGCAACGAUGCAUAGCCGACCUGAGAGGGUGAUCGGCCACACUGGAACUGAGACACGGUCCAGACUCCUACGGGAGGCAGCAGUAGGGAAUCUUCCGCAAUGGGCGAAAGCCUGACGGAGCAACGCCGCGUGAGUGAUGAAGGUCUUCGGAUCGUAAAACUCUGUUAUUAGGGAAGAACAUAUGUGUAAGUAACUGUGCACAUCUUGACGGUACCUAAUCAGAAAGCCACGGCUAACUACGUG